GACGUAGGGCGCGAGCGUUGUCCGGAUUUAUUGGGCGUAAAGAGCGUGUAGGCGGCCAGAUAGGUCCGUUGUGAAAACUCGAGGCUCAACCUCGAGACGCCGAUGGAAACCAUUUGGCUAGAGUCCGGAAGAGGAGAGUGGAAUUCCUGGUGUAGCGGUGAAAUGCGCAGAUAUCAGGAAGAACACCCGUGGCUAAGGCGGCUCUCUAGUACGGUACUGACGCUGAGACGCGAAAGCGUGGGGAGCGAACAGG
Molecule: ribosomal RNA, 253 nt
Filed under: uncultured bacterium
Lineage: Bacteria
Description: partial 16S ribosomal RNA
Rfam family: Bacterial small subunit ribosomal RNA
Source: RNAcentral